AUUGAACGCUGGCGGCAGGCCUAACACAUGCAAGUCGAGCGGAUGAAGGGAGCUUGCUCCUAGAUUCAGCGGCGGACGGGUGAGUAAUGCCUAGGAAUCUGCCUGGUAGUGGGGGAUAACGUCCGGAAACGGGCGCUAAUACCGCAUACGUCCUGAGGGAGAAAGUGUGGGAUCUUCGGACCUCACGCUAUCAGAUGAGCCUAGGUCGGAUUAGCUAGUUGGUGGGGUAAAGGCCUACCAAGGCGACGAUCCGUAACUGGUCUGAGAGGAUGAUCAGUCACACUGGAACUGAGACACGGUCCAGACUCCUACGGGAGGCAGCAGUGGGGAAUAUUGGACAAUGGGCGAAAGCCUGAUCCAGCCAUGCCGCGUGUGUGAAGAAGGUCUUCGGAUUGUAAAGCACUUUAAGUUGGGAGGAAGGGCAGUAAGUUAAUACCUUGCUGUUUUGACGUUACCAACAGAAUAAGCACCGGCUAACUUCGUG
RNAcentral lists this ribosomal RNA (484 nucleotides) under uncultured bacterium. RNAcentral describes it as "partial 16S ribosomal RNA". It matches the Rfam family "Bacterial small subunit ribosomal RNA", at positions 30 to 507 of the family's 1533-position model. The record is from RNAcentral.